GUCCCUAUCGUCUAGAGGCCUAGGACAUCGCCCUUUCACGGCGGUAACCGGGGUUCGAAUCACCGUAGGGACG
This 73-nucleotide transfer RNA is filed under the name Acinetobacter baumannii 1461963. RNAcentral's name for it is "tRNA-Glu". It matches the Rfam family "tRNA". Rfam says of the family: Transfer RNA (tRNA) molecules are approximately 80 nucleotides in length. The record is from RNAcentral. Lineage: Bacteria; Pseudomonadati; Pseudomonadota; Gammaproteobacteria; Moraxellales; Moraxellaceae.